GUGGUGUUUAGUUCAGGUCAGUGAUCUUUAGGUCAGUGGUGUUUAGUUCAGAUCAGUGGUGUUUAGUUCAGGUCAGUGAUCUUCAGGUCAGUGAUCUUCAGGUCAGUGGUGUUUAGUUCAGGACAGUGAUCUUUAGGUCAGUGGUGUUUAGUUCAGGUCAGUGGUGUUUAGGUAAGGUCAGUGAUCUUCAGGUCAGUGAUCUUCAGGUCAGUGGUGUUUAGUUCAGGUCAGUGGUGUUUAGGUCAGUGGUGUUUAGGUCAGGUCAGUGGUGUUUAGUUCAGGUCAGUGGUGUUUAGGUCAGUGGUGUUUAGGUCAGGUCAGUGGAGUUUAGUUCAGGUCAGUAAUCUUCAGGUCAGUGGUGUUUAGUUCAGAACCCGGUGUAUACUUGUGCUGUUUUCCUGCAGGC
Ictalurus punctatus (channel catfish) is the source of this 406-nucleotide long non-coding RNA. The record is from Ensembl. NCBI's taxonomy places the organism in Eukaryota, Metazoa, Chordata, Actinopteri, Siluriformes, Ictaluridae.